ACUCCUACGGGAGGCAGCAGUGGGGAAUUUUGGACAAUGGGCGAAAGCCUGAUCCAGCAAUGCCGCGUGAGUGAAGAAGGCCUUCGGGUUGUAAAGCUCUUUUGUCAGGGAAGAAACGGUGCGGGCUAAUAUCCUGCACUAAUGACGGUACCUGAAGAAUAAGCACCGGCUAACUACGUGCCAGCAGCCGCGGUAAUACGUAGGGUGCAAGCGUUAAUCGGAAUUACUGGGCGUAAAGCGUGCGCAGGCGGUUUUGUAAGUCUGAUGUGAAAUCCCCGGGCUCAACCUGGGAAUUGCAUUGGAGACUGCAAGGCUAGAAUCUGGCAGAGGGGGGUAGAAUUCCACGUGUAGCAGUGAAAUGCGUAGAGAUGUGGAGGAACACCGAUGGCGAAGGCAGCCCCCUGGGUCAAGAUUGACGCUCAUGCACGAAAGCGUGGGGAGCAAACAGGAUUAGAUACCCUGGUAGUCCACGCCCUAAACGAUGUCUACUAGUUGUCGGGUUUUAAUUAACUUGGUAACGCAGCUAACGCGUGAAGUAGACCGCCUGGGGAGUACGGUCGCAAGAUUAAAACUCAAAGGAAUUGACGGGGACCCGCACAAGCGGUGGAUGAUGUGGAUUAAUUCGAUGCAACGCGAAAAACCUUACCUACCCUUGAC
This 657-nucleotide ribosomal RNA is filed under the name uncultured bacterium. Its description in RNAcentral is "bacterial SSU rRNA". It matches the Rfam family "Bacterial small subunit ribosomal RNA", at positions 335 to 985 of the family's 1533-position model. The record is from RNAcentral.